GACCUCAAAUCAGGUAGGACUACCCGCUGAACUUAAGCAUAUCAUAGGCGGAG
This 53-nucleotide ribosomal RNA is filed under the name Ganoderma parvulum. Its description in RNAcentral is "partial 28S ribosomal RNA". Lineage: Eukaryota; Fungi; Basidiomycota; Agaricomycetes; Polyporales; Polyporaceae. The record is from RNAcentral.